UGCCUUACACAUCCCAAGUCGAACGGUAACAGGUCUUCGGAUGCUGACGAGUGGCGAACGGGUGAGUAAUGCAUCGGAACGUGCCCAGUUGUGGGGGAUAACUGCUCGAAAGAGCAGCUAAUACCGCAUACGACCUGAGGGUGAAAGCGGGGGAUCGCAAGACCUCGCGCAAUUGGAGCGGCCGAUGUCAGAUUAGGUAGUUGGUGGGGUAAAGGCCUACCAAGCCGACGAUCUGUAGUUGGUCUGAGAGGACGACCAGCCACACUGGGACUGAGACACGGCCCAGACUCCUACGGGAGGCAGCAGUGGGGAAUUUUGGACAAUGGGCGCAAGCCUGAUCCAGCAAUGCCGCGUGCAGGAAGAAGGCCUUCGGGUUGUAAACUGC
RNAcentral lists this ribosomal RNA (385 nucleotides) under uncultured organism. Its description in RNAcentral is "bacterial SSU rRNA". It matches the Rfam family "Bacterial small subunit ribosomal RNA", at positions 45 to 433 of the family's 1533-position model. The record is from RNAcentral.